UACGUCAUCACUUUCAAGAAUGUCACUUACAC
This 32-nucleotide non-coding RNA is filed under the name Mus musculus (house mouse). Lineage: Eukaryota; Metazoa; Chordata; Mammalia; Rodentia; Muridae. The record is from RNAcentral.